Molecule: non-coding RNA, 767 nt
Filed under: Chrysomela vigintipunctata (willow leaf beetle)
Lineage: Eukaryota; Metazoa; Arthropoda; Insecta; Coleoptera; Chrysomelidae
Source: RNAcentral
AAAAAGUUUUAUUUUAACUUAAGAAUUUAAUGUAAUUUUAAUUUAAAUGUAAAUUUUAGUAUAAUUUUAUUUUUAAAUAAGAUAAUAAUUUUAUUGCAAUAAAUAGUAUUAAAUAUUAAAUAACUUUAGAUUUAGUAAUAAUAUAAGUAUUAACUUAAUUUGUGCCAGCAGUUGCGGUUAUACAAAUAAUACAAUUAAAUUAUUUUAGUUUUAAUUAAUUAAUAAACUUAAAUUUAAAUUAUAAAUUUAAUAAGUGAAAUUUUAAAUUUUGUAAAGAUUUACAUUUGUUAAUGACUUAAGAAAUUUUAAUUAUAAACUAGGAUUAGAUACCCUAUUAUUUAAAAUGUAAUUUUAAAAACUAAAUUAGUAUAAGAUAUGUUCUCGAAAAUUAAAGAUUUUGGCGGUAUUUUAGUCUAUUCAGAGGAACCUGUUCUAUGAUUGAUAGUCCACGAUUUAAUUUACUUAUUUUAUUAAUUUAUAUAUCGUCGUAGUUUGAAUAUUUUAUUAGAAUUUUAAUAUUCAAGAUUUAUAAUAAUAAAAAAAAUCAGAUCAAGGUGUAGUUUAUAAAUAAGUAGAAAUGGGUUACUAUAAUUAAAAUUUAAGAUAAUUAUUUUUAAAGUAAUUUGAAUAAGGAUUUGAAAGUAAUUUUAAUUUAUUAAUUAAAAUGAUUUUAGCUCUAAAAUAUGUACAUAUCGCCCGUCGCUUUCAUUAUAAUGUGAAAUAAGUCGUAACAAAGUAGAUUUACUGGAAAGUGAAUCUAGAUUCAA